This 253-nucleotide ribosomal RNA is filed under the name uncultured bacterium. Its description in RNAcentral is "partial 16S ribosomal RNA". It matches the Rfam family "Bacterial small subunit ribosomal RNA", at positions 524 to 776 of the family's 1533-position model. The record is from RNAcentral.
UACGGAGGGCGCAAGCGUUGUUCGGAAUCACUGGGCGUAAAGCGCUUGCAGGCGGCUUGGUAAGUCGGGUGUGAAAUCCCGGAGCUCAACUCCGGAACUGCACCCGAUACUGCCUCGCUAGAGUCCCGGAGAGGAUGGCGGAAUUUCCGGUGUAGAGGUGAAAUUCGUAGAUAUCGGAAGGAACACCAGCGGCGAAGGCGGCCAUCUGGACGGUGACUGACGCUCAGAAGCGAAAGCGCGGGGAGCAAACAGG